GGUAGCGUGGCCAAGAGGUCUAAGGCGCUGAAUUAAGGCUCCAGUCUCUUUGGGGAUGUGGGUUUGAAUCCUACCGUUGCCA
Molecule: transfer RNA, 82 nt
Filed under: Heterocephalus glaber (naked mole-rat)
Lineage: Eukaryota; Metazoa; Chordata; Mammalia; Rodentia; Bathyergidae
Rfam family: tRNA
About the family: Transfer RNA (tRNA) molecules are approximately 80 nucleotides in length. Their secondary structure includes four short double-helical elements and three loops (D, anti-codon, and T loops).
Source: Rfam by way of RNAcentral